RNAcentral lists this ribosomal RNA (440 nucleotides) under uncultured bacterium. RNAcentral describes it as "partial 16S ribosomal RNA". It matches the Rfam family "Bacterial small subunit ribosomal RNA", at positions 338 to 795 of the family's 1533-position model. The record is from RNAcentral.
CCUACGGGAGGCAGCAGUGGGGAAUAUUGCACAAUGGGGGAAACCCUGAUGCAGCGACGCCGCGUGAGUGAGGAAGUAUUUCGGUAUGUAAAGCUCUAUCAGCAGGGAAGAAAAUGACGGUACCUGACCAAGCAGCCCCGGCUAACUACGGGCCAGCAGCCGCGGUAAUACGUAGGGGGCAAGCGUUAACCGGAUGUACUGGGUGGAAAGGGAGCGUAGACGGGUAAUCAAGUCAGAAGUGAAAAACCAGGGCUCAACCUUGGGACUGCGUUUGACACGGAGUAGCUAGAGUGCAGGAGAGGUAAGCGGAAUUCCUGGUGUAGCGGUGAAAUGCGUAGAUAUUAGGAGGAACACCAGUGGCGAAGGCGGCUUACUGGACUGUAACUGACGUUGAGGCUCGAAAGCGUGGGGAGCGAACAGGAUUAGAUACCCCUGUAGUC